RNAcentral lists this ribosomal RNA (487 nucleotides) under uncultured bacterium. RNAcentral's name for it is "bacterial SSU rRNA". It matches the Rfam family "Bacterial small subunit ribosomal RNA", at positions 30 to 503 of the family's 1533-position model. The record is from RNAcentral.
AUUGAACGCUAGCGGGAUGCUUUACACAUGCAAGUCGAACGGCAGCGCGAGGUAAGCUUGCUUACUUUGGCGGCGAGUGGCGAACGGGUGAGUAAUGUAUCGGAACGUACCCAGUAGCGGGGGAUAACUACGCGAAAGCGUGGCUAAUACCGCAUACGCCCUACGGGGGAAAGGGGGGGAUCUUAGGACCUCUCACUAUUGGAGCGGCCGAUAUCGGAUUAGCUAGUUGGUGAGGUAAAGGCUCACCAAGGCUGCGAUCCGUAGCUGGUUUGAGAGGACGACCAGCCACACUGGGACUGAGACACGGCCCAGACUCCUACGGGAGGCAGCAGUGGGGAAUUUUGGACAAUGGGGGCAACCCUGAUCCAGCCAUCCCGCGUGUGCGAUGAAGGCCUUCGGGUUGUAAAGCACUUUUGGCAGGGAAGAAAGGGCGCUGGUUAAUACCUGGCGUUGAUGACGGUACCUGCAGAAUAAGCACCGCUAACUA